This 85-nucleotide transfer RNA is filed under the name Felis catus (domestic cat). It matches the Rfam family "tRNA". From Rfam's summary of the family: Transfer RNA (tRNA) molecules are approximately 80 nucleotides in length. The record is from Rfam by way of RNAcentral. Lineage: Eukaryota; Metazoa; Chordata; Mammalia; Carnivora; Felidae.
GCCUGGGUGGCUCAGUCGGUUGAGCAUCUGACUUCGGCUCAGGUCAUGAUCUCAGAGUUUGUGGGUUCGAGCCCUGCAUUGGGCU